GGAGCUUGCUCCUGGGUGAGAGUGGCGAACGGGUGAGUAAUGCGUGACCGACCUGCCCCAUACACCGGAAUAGCUCCUGGAAACGGGUGGUAAUGCCGGAUGCUCCAGUUGACCGCAUGGUCCUCUGGGAAAGAUUCAUCGGUAUGGGAUGGGGUCGCGUCCUAUCAGCUUGAUGGCGGGGUAACGGCCCACCAUGGCUUCGACGGGUAGCCGGCCUGAGAGGGCGACCGGCCACAUUGGGACUGAGAUACGGCCCAGACUCCUACGGGAGGCAGCAGUGGGGAAUAUUGCACAAUGGGCGCAAGCCUGAUGCAGCGACGCCGCGUGCGGGAUGACGGCCUUCGGGUUGUAAACCGCUUUUGACUGGGAGCAAGCCCUUCGGGGUGAGUGUACCUUUCGAAUAAGCACCGGCUAACUACGUGCCAGCAGCCGCGGUAAUACGUAGGGUGCAAGCGUUAUCCGGAAUUAUUGGGCGUAAAGGGCUCGUAGGCGGUUCGUCGCGUCCGGUGUGAAAGUCCAUCGCUUAACGGUGGAUCCGCGCCGGGUACGGGCGGGCUUGAGUGCGGUAGGGGAGACUGGAAUUCCCGGUGUAACGGUGGAAUGUGUAGAUAUCGGGAAGAACACCAAUGGCGAAGGCAGGUCUCUGGGCCGUCACUGACGCUGAGGAGCGAAAGCGUGGGGAGCGAACAGGAUUAGAUACCCUGGUAGUCCACGCCGUAAACGGUGGAUGCUGGAUGUGGGGACCAUUCCACGGUCUCCGUGUCGGAGCCAACGCGUUAAGCAUCCCGCCUGGGGAGUACGGCCGCAAGGCUAAAACUCAAAGAAAUUGACGGGGGCCCGCACAAGCGGCGGAGCAUGCGGAUUAAUUCGAUGCAACGCGAAGAACCUUACCUGGGCUUGACAUGUUCCCGACAGCCGUAGAGAUACGGUCUCCCUUCGG
This 940-nucleotide ribosomal RNA is filed under the name human gut metagenome. RNAcentral's name for it is "bacterial SSU rRNA". It matches the Rfam family "Bacterial small subunit ribosomal RNA", at positions 75 to 1022 of the family's 1533-position model. The record is from RNAcentral.